This 101-nucleotide ribosomal RNA is filed under the name Rigidoporus microporus. RNAcentral's name for it is "partial 28S ribosomal RNA". Lineage: Eukaryota; Fungi; Basidiomycota; Agaricomycetes; Polyporales; Meripilaceae. The record is from RNAcentral.
UGUGUUUUUGCCGGCUUCUAAUCUCUGGCCUCUUUUUCAAAGUGGCCUUUACACUUUUGAUACUUGACCUCAAAUCAGGUAGGAUUACCCGCUGAACUUAA